Molecule: transfer RNA, 72 nt
Filed under: Granulicatella sp.
Lineage: Bacteria; Bacillati; Bacillota; Bacilli; Lactobacillales; Carnobacteriaceae
Description: tRNA-Val
Rfam family: tRNA
About the family: Transfer RNA (tRNA) molecules are approximately 80 nucleotides in length. Their secondary structure includes four short double-helical elements and three loops (D, anti-codon, and T loops).
Source: RNAcentral
AGGUUAUUAGUUCAGCGGGAGAACAUUUGCCUUACAAGCAAAGGGUCAUAGGUUCGAAUCCUAUAUAACCUA